CGCGAAGGCAAGCGGAUCUCUUAAAGCUGUUCUCAGUUCGGACUGCAGUCUGCAACUCGACUGCACGAAGCUGGAAUCGCUAGUAAUCGCGGAUCAGCACGCCGCGGUGAAUACGUUCCCGGGCCUUGUACACACCGCCCGUCACACCAUGGAAGUCUGCAAUGCCCGAAGCCGGUGGCCUAACCACUUAUGUGGAAGGAGCCGUCUAAGGCAGGGCAGAUGACUGGGGUGAAGUCGUAACAAGGUAAC
RNAcentral lists this ribosomal RNA (249 nucleotides) under uncultured bacterium. RNAcentral describes it as "partial 16S ribosomal RNA". It matches the Rfam family "Bacterial small subunit ribosomal RNA", at positions 1256 to 1500 of the family's 1533-position model. The record is from RNAcentral.